GCUGAAAUCAAGGUGUCCGCCAGGCUGGGCUUUAAUCUGGAGGCUCUGGCUGUGGAAAGCAUUGUAAUAGAAAUAUGAAGGAGAAGAAAAGAUAAAUUCCAUCCGAACACAUCUGGGAGAACUGGAAGAAGUGCUGUUUGAGCCAGGACUUGAAGUGGAGCCUACUUCCCCUCCCCUUGAAUAUGGACUUAGUGAUUCUCUCCUAAUGAAUAGAAUAUGGUGGAAGUGAUGCUGUAUGACUCGUGAGGCUAGGUCAUAAAAAGGAUAGCUUAUCCCUAAGCACUCUCUCGGAUCACUCACUUUGAGGGAAGCCAGCAACUACACUCAAACAGUCCUGGAAGAGGCACAUGUGGAGAGGAGCUGAGACCACCCACCAGCCAGCACCGGCUUUUGAGGGAACCACUUCGGAAGCAGAUCCUCAAGCCCAGGCAUGACUGCAACGUGCUGAGAAAUUCCAAGCCAGAACCACCAGCCAAGCGCCUCCUAAAUUCUUGACCUAUAGAAACGGAUAAUAAGAUAAUAAAUGUUUAUUGUUUUAACCAGUAA
Molecule: long non-coding RNA, 546 nt
Filed under: Equus asinus (donkey)
Lineage: Eukaryota; Metazoa; Chordata; Mammalia; Perissodactyla; Equidae
Description: lncRNA (ENSEASG00005023581.1)
Source: RNAcentral